RNAcentral lists this ribosomal RNA (502 nucleotides) under Vermamoeba vermiformis. RNAcentral describes it as "SSU rRNA". It matches the Rfam family "Eukaryotic small subunit ribosomal RNA", at positions 1215 to 1719 of the family's 1831-position model. The record is from RNAcentral. Lineage: Eukaryota; Tubulinea; Echinamoebida; Vermamoebidae.
UUACGAGGUCAGGACACUGUGAGGAUUGACAGAUUGAAAGCUCUUCCUUGAUUCAGUGGGUGGUGGUGCAUGGCCGUUCUUAGUUGGUGGAGUGAUUUGUCUGGUUAAUUCCGUUAACGAACGAGACCUUAACCUGCUAAAUAGUCACGCGAACCGGUCCGCAAGGGCUCAAAGUUCGCGGCUCGACUUCUUAGAGGGACUAUUCGCACCCGGCAGCGAAUGGAAGUUUGAGGCAAUAACAGGUCUGUGAUGCCCUUAGAUGUUCUCGGCCGCACGCGCGUUACACUGACGGAGUCAACGAGCGUUUUUCCUUGCCCGAUAGGGUUGGGUAACCUCCUGAAACUCCGUCGUGAUGGGGAUAGAUCAUUGCAAUUAUUGAUCUUGAACGAGGAAUUCCUAGUAGGCGCGAGUCAUCAACUCGCGCCGAUUACGUCCCUGCCCUUUGUACGCACCGCCCGUCGCUCCUACCGAUUGAACGGUCCGGCGAGAACUCCGGAUGGUC